Molecule: long non-coding RNA, 774 nt
Organism: Rhipicephalus microplus (southern cattle tick)
Lineage: Eukaryota; Metazoa; Arthropoda; Arachnida; Ixodida; Ixodidae
Source: RefSeq, a predicted model, not a curated record
UCGCUGCUGCGCUCUAAUCCACGUAAGUUUUGGAGCAUCAUUAGCGGAACUACAACGCGACAUAUCCAAUUAAUACAGUCUGAUGUCCCAGUCGCUCUUAGCGAGUGCUGCAACGUUCUGAGUAAUGUAUUUGCUGCACACUUUCAGAACAGCAUCCCAACUAUAUUUCCACAGUUAACAAGCACCGAUUUCUUGCCAAUGGACCCUAUUAUCAUUGAUGCAGUUGGUGUCGAAAAACUUGUUGGAAACUUGACAGUGUCAUCAUCAGCUGGUCCAGAUUGCAUUUCGUCAAAAAUGUUGAAGUGUACUCAAGUCUAUUCUUCUUUAAUAUUGUCAAAACUUUUUGAACAGUCAUUACAGACGUCCACACUGCCAUCUGACUGGAAGACUGGGAAGGUGGUCCCUGUGCAUAAAUCUGCCAUUUGAAGGACGCCCUGUUUCAUCCACCUCGCUUCAUAUCACCAAGGAUGGAUCAUCGCUUUAAGGUGGGCCUACCAUCCUGUCGCACCAGACUAUAUAAUGAUUCAUUCGUGCCAAGGACAAGCGCCGCCUGGAACCACCUUCCCGCCUCCAUCGCCUGUAUAACGGACCAAAAAGACUUCAAGCUCGCCAUACAUGAUGCCCUGUAGAAUUUUUCUUUUUUUUCCUGUUUUCUGUUUUUUUUUUUUUUUUUUUUUUUAACUUUUUAACUGCACUUACGAUUGUUCAAACCACUCCUUUCUGUAGUGCCUUCGGGCCUUGAAAGUACCUUUAAUAAAUAAAUAAAUAAAUAAA